GAUGAACGCUAGCGGCAGGCCUAAUACAUGCAAGACGAACGGUAAGUUGAGUAGCAAUACUUAGCCAAGAGUGUCGUACGGGUGCGUAACACGUAUGCAACCUACCCUAUACAGGAGGAUAGCCUAGGGAAACCUGGAUUAAACCCUUCAUAGUAUUAUUGGAUGGCAUCAUUUGAUAAUUAAAAACUGAGGUGGUAUAGGAUGGGCAUGCGUCAGAUUAGUUAGUUGGCGGGGUAAUGGCCCACAAGACGAUGAUCAGUAGGGGUUCUGAGAGGAAGAUCCCCACACUGGCACUGAGAUACGGGCCAGACUCCUACGGGAGGCAGCAGUAGGAAUAUUGGUCAAUGGAUGCAAGUCUGAGCCAGCCAUGCCGCG
Molecule: ribosomal RNA, 375 nt
Filed under: uncultured bacterium
Lineage: Bacteria
Description: bacterial SSU rRNA
Rfam family: Bacterial small subunit ribosomal RNA
Source: RNAcentral